AGGAUUAACGCUGGCGGCGUGCAUGAAACAUGCAAGUCGAGCGCGGUGUGAUGCGGGGUAACCCAAUUCACAUCUAGCGGCGAACGGGUGAGUAACACGUGAGCAACCUACCUUUGAGUUGGGGAUAGCCCUGGGAAACCAGGAUUAAUACCCGAUGUGGUCACAACAGGACAUCCUGAUGUGAGUAAAGGCGCAAGCCGCUCAAUGACGGGCUCGCGGCCUAUUAGCUUGUUGGUGGGGUAACGGCCUACCAAGGCGAUGAUGGGUAGCUGGUCUGAGAGGACGAUCAGCCACACUGGGACUGAGACACGGCCCAGACUCCUACGGGAGGCAGCAGUUAGGAAUUUUCCGCAAUGGGCGAAAGCCUGACGGAGCAACGCCGCGUGAGUGAUGAAGACCUUAGGGUUGUAAAGCUCUGUCGGAGGGAAGAACACAAUGACGGUACCCUCCGAAGAAGCCCCGGCUAACUACGCGCCAGCACGCCGCGGUAA
This 491-nucleotide ribosomal RNA is filed under the name uncultured bacterium. Its description in RNAcentral is "SSU rRNA". It matches the Rfam family "Bacterial small subunit ribosomal RNA", at positions 26 to 523 of the family's 1533-position model. The record is from RNAcentral.